This 1471-nucleotide ribosomal RNA is filed under the name Capsicum chinense (habanero). RNAcentral's name for it is "bacterial SSU rRNA". It matches the Rfam family "Bacterial small subunit ribosomal RNA". Lineage: Eukaryota; Viridiplantae; Streptophyta; Magnoliopsida; Solanales; Solanaceae. The record is from RNAcentral.
AGAGUUCGAUCCUGGCUUAGGAUGAACGCUGACAGCAUAUUUAACACAUGCAAAUCAGAUGGGAAACACGAGAAAUGGUGUUUCCAGUGGCGGACGGGUGAGUAACGCAUAAGAACCUGCCCUUGGGAGGGGAACAACAGAUGGAAACGACUGCUAAUACCCCGUAGGCUGAGGAGCAAAAGGAGGAAUCCGCCCGAGGAGGGGCUCACGUCUGAUUAGCUAGUUGGUGAGGCAAUAGCUUACCAAGGCAAUGAUCAGUAGCUAGUUCGAGAGGAUGAUCAGCCACACUAGGACUGAGACACAGCCCAGACUCCUACGAGAGGCAGCAGUGGGGAAUUUUAUGCAAUGAGCGAAAGCCUGACAGAGCAAUGCCGUAUGGAGGUAGAAGGCCCAUGGUUCGUGCAGUUCUUUUCACAGAGAAGAAGCAAUGACGGUAUCGGGGAAUAAGCAUUGGCUAACUCUGUGCCAGCAGCCAUAGUAAUACAGAGGAUGCAAGCGUUAUCCAGAAUGAUUGGGUGUAAAGCGUCUGUAGGUAGCUUUUUAAGUCUGUUUUCAAAUCUCAGGGCUCAAACCUGGACAGGUGGUGGAAACUACCAACCUGGAGUACGGUAGGGGCAGAGGGAAUUUAAGGUGGAGCGAUGAAAUGCAUAGAGAUCGAAAAGAACACCAAUGGCGUAAGCACUCUGCUGGGCCAACACUGACACUGAGAGACGAAAGCUAGGGAAGCGAAUAGGAUUAGAUACCCCAGUAAUCCUAGCCACAAACGAUGGAUACUAGGCAUUGUGCGAAUCAACCCGUGCAGUGCUGUAGCUAACACGUUAAGUAUCUCGCCUGGGGAGUACAUUUGGAAAAAUGAAACUCAAAGGAAUUGAUGGGGGCCCGCACAAGCGAUGGAGCAUGUGGUUUAAUUCGAUGCAAAGCAAAGAACCUUACCAGGGCUUGAUAUGCAGCGAAUCCUCUUGAAAGAGAGGAGUGCCUUCGGGAACGCAGACACAGGUGGUGCAUGACUGUCGUUAGCUCGUGCCGUAAUAUGUUGGGUUAAGUCCCAUAAUGAGUGAAACCAUCGUGUUUAGUUACCAUCGUUGAGUUUGGAACCCUGAACAGACUGCCAGUGAUAAGCCGGAGGAAGGUGAGGAUGACAUCAAGUCAUCAUGCCCCUUAUGCCCUGGGCGAUACACAUGCUAUAAUGGCCAGGACAAAGGGCCGCGAUCCCGAGAGGGUGAGCUAACCCCAAAAACCCAUCCUCAAUUCAGAUUGCAGGCUGCAACUAGCCUGCAUAAAGUCAAAAUCACUAGUAAUCGCCGGUCAGGCAGUGAAUUUGUUCCUGGGCCUUGUACACACUGCCCGUCACACUAUGGGAACUAGCUAUGCCCAAAGUCGUUACCUUAACCGCAAGGAGGGGGAUACCGAAGGCAGGGCUAGUGACUGGAGUGAAGUCGUAACAAGGUAGACGUACUCGAAGGUGCGGCUG